RNAcentral lists this unclassified non-coding RNA (220 nucleotides) under plant metagenome. RNAcentral describes it as "partial contains small subunit ribosomal RNA, internal transcribed spacer 1, and 5.8S ribosomal RNA". The record is from RNAcentral.
GUAGGUGAACCUGCGGAAGGAUCAUUAGUGAAUUGAAUAUGUUAGCGGACCUCUUCGGAGUCCCUAGCAUCAAAUCAUAUCCAUAACAUCUGUGAACUGUAAGGCUGUCUUGAAAACGAAAGUGAUUAGAGCGCCUGCCCAUUUUAUACAAACAUUAAAGUAACAAACGUAGUCUCAUUAUAAUCUAAUAAAACUUUCAACAACGGAUCUCUUGGCUCUC